RNAcentral lists this long non-coding RNA (223 nucleotides) under Phoenix dactylifera (date palm). RNAcentral's name for it is "long non-coding RNA (PDAC_LNC005308)". The record is from RNAcentral. Lineage: Eukaryota; Viridiplantae; Streptophyta; Magnoliopsida; Arecales; Arecaceae.
UAGCCUCUCAUCAAAUUGUCUAUAUAAGCAUCUCUAUCUCUCUCUCUCUCUGUAUGGUUCAUGUGACUUGCUUGUCUAUUUGGCUGUUUCUUUGGUUCUUUCUUAUUCUUCCUCUCUUUCUACUUUUCUGUUCAUUUUGAAUAGUAUGGUGGUGGUGUUUAUUUGUUUUUCAGGUUUUUCGUUCAAAACAUCAUUGUUUGAUUUUAUGUAGUUUUAUUAAAUU